RNAcentral lists this long non-coding RNA (213 nucleotides) under Capsicum annuum. RNAcentral's name for it is "long non-coding RNA (CANN_LNC012008)". Lineage: Eukaryota; Viridiplantae; Streptophyta; Magnoliopsida; Solanales; Solanaceae. The record is from RNAcentral.
GGGGGGUAAGAUGUACGCAGUCCAUACCUCUACCUCUGAUGAAGUAGAAAGGCUGUUUCCGAAAGACCCCCGGCUCAAGGCACAAGAUAUCACACAAACACAUAGUAAAGCACAGAAGCAGAUGACAUAACAUAAAUACGGCAACCAUAAGGAAUAUAAAACAGAGGAAAGCAGAGGAAAGCACACAGAUUCGUAAUAAGCAUGGAACACUGA